Molecule: ribosomal RNA, 460 nt
Filed under: uncultured bacterium
Lineage: Bacteria
Description: partial 16S ribosomal RNA
Rfam family: Bacterial small subunit ribosomal RNA
Source: RNAcentral
CCUACGGGUGGCAGCAGUGAGGAAUAUUGGUCAAUGGACGAGAGUCUGAACCAGCCAAGUAGCGUGAAGGAUGACUGCCCUAUGGGUUGUAAACUUCUUUUAUAUGGGAAUAAAAUGUUCCACGUGUGGGAUUUUGUAUGUACCUUAUGAAUAAGGAUCGGCUAACUCCGUGCCAGCAGCCGCGGUAAUACGGAGGAUCCGAGCGUUAUCCGGAUUUAUUGGGUUGAGAGGGAGCGUAGGUGGAUUGUUAAGUCAGUUGUGAAAGUUUGCGGCUCAACCGUAAAAUUGCAGUUGACACUGGCAGUCUUGAGUACAGUAGAGGUGGGCGGAAUUCGUGGUGUAGCGGUGAAAUGCUUAGAUAUCACGAAGAACUCCGAUUGCGAAGGCAGUUCACUGGACUGCAACUGACACUGAGGCUCGAAAGUGUGGGUAUCAAACAGGAUUAGAUACCCGGGUAGUC